AGUGAACGCUGGCGGUAGGCCUAACACAUGCAAGUCGAACGGCAGCACAGUAAGAGCUUGCUCUUACGGGUGGCGAGUGGCGGACGGGUGAGGAAUACAUCGGAAUCUACUUUUUCGUGGGGGAUAACCUAGGGAAACUUACGCUAAUACCGCAUACGACCUACGGGUGAAAGCAGGGGAUCUUCGGACCUUGCGCGAUUGAAUGAGCCGAUGUCGGAUUAGCUAGUUGGCGGGGUAAAGGCCCACCAGGGCGACGAUCCGUAGCUGGUCUGAGAGGAUGAUCAGCCACACUGGAACUGAGACACGGCCAGACUCCUACGGGAGGCAGCAGUGGGGAAUAUUGGACAAUGGGCGCAAGCCUGAUCCAGCCAUACCGCGUGGGUGAAGAAGGCCUUCGGGUUGUAAAGCCCUUUUGUUGGGAAAGAAAAGCAGCAGGUUAAUACCCCGCUGUUCUGACGGUACCCAAAGAAUAAGCACCGGCUAACUUCGUG
Molecule: ribosomal RNA, 491 nt
Filed under: uncultured bacterium
Lineage: Bacteria
Description: partial 16S ribosomal RNA
Rfam family: Bacterial small subunit ribosomal RNA
Source: RNAcentral